This 195-nucleotide non-coding RNA is filed under the name Streptococcus chenjunshii. RNAcentral's name for it is "6S RNA". It matches the Rfam family "6S / SsrS RNA". Rfam says of the family: E. coli 6S RNA was the first non coding RNA to be sequenced, but its function was unknown until recently. It consists of 184 nucleotides that fold into an extended hairpin structure with a large single-stranded internal bulge. The record is from RNAcentral. Lineage: Bacteria; Bacillati; Bacillota; Bacilli; Lactobacillales; Streptococcaceae.
UAAAUGCUGUGGUAUACGAGCCCACAUCAAUGUGUUGACCGACUAAAUCUUUGUAUUUUUGGGAAACAUAGGUCUUUCUGACAGUAUGCAAGCCGUUUCACGCGGAAGCAGCUAAGUGAGAAGCGCGUUGCCCACCUGCGUUAAUAUGCGGGUUCAAUACAAAACGCGGGCUACCGGUACCAAUACAGCUUUUUU